Molecule: ribosomal RNA, 494 nt
Filed under: uncultured bacterium
Lineage: Bacteria
Description: partial 16S ribosomal RNA
Rfam family: Bacterial small subunit ribosomal RNA
Source: RNAcentral
GACGAACGCUGACGGCGUGCUUAACACAUGCAAGUCGAACGGUGAAGCGCCUUCCUUUUUGGUGGGUGUGGAUGAGUGGCGAACGGGUGAGUAACACGUGAGUAACCUGCCCCCUUCUUCUGGAUAACCGCAUGAAAGUGUGGCUAAUACGGGAUAUUCUGGGUCUGUCGCAUGAUGGGUCUGGGAAAGAUAUUGUUUCGGGGGGGGAUGGGCUCGCGGCCUAUCAGCUUGUUGGUGGGGUGAUGGCCUACCAAGGCGGUGACGGGUAGCCGGCCUGAGAGGGUGGACGGUCACACUGGGACUGAGACACGGCCCAGACUCCUACGGGAGGCAGCAGUGGGGAAUAUUGCACAAUGGGCGCAAGCCUGAUGCAGCGACGCCGCGUGAGGGAUGGAGGCCUUCGGGUUGUGAACCUCUUUCGCCAGUGAAGCAGGCCUGCCUCGUUUGUGGGUGGGUUGACGGUAGCUGGAUAAGAAGCGCCGGCUAACUACGUG